GUGUUUAUAGCUCAGUGGUAGAGCACAUGCUUAGCGUGCACAAGGUCUUGGGUUCAAUCCCCAGUAUCUCCA
This 72-nucleotide transfer RNA is filed under the name Camelus bactrianus (Bactrian camel). It matches the Rfam family "tRNA". From Rfam's summary of the family: Transfer RNA (tRNA) molecules are approximately 80 nucleotides in length. The record is from Rfam by way of RNAcentral. RNAcentral also lists the same sequence under 1 other name. Lineage: Eukaryota; Metazoa; Chordata; Mammalia; Artiodactyla; Camelidae.